RNAcentral lists this ribosomal RNA (490 nucleotides) under uncultured bacterium. RNAcentral describes it as "partial 16S ribosomal RNA". It matches the Rfam family "Bacterial small subunit ribosomal RNA", at positions 30 to 507 of the family's 1533-position model. The record is from RNAcentral.
AUUGAACGCUGGCGGCAGGCUUAACACAUGCAAGUCGAGCGGUAACAGAGAGAAGCUUGCUUCUCUGCUGACGAGCGGCGGACGGGUGAGUAAUGCCUAGGAAUCUGCCUAGUAGUGGGGGAUAACUUGCCGAAAGGUAAGCUAAUACCGCAUACGUCCUACGGGAGAAAGGAGGGGACCUUCGGGCCUUUCGCUAUUAGAUGAGCCUAGGUCGGAUUAGUUAGUUGGUGAGGUAAUGGCUCACCAAGACCGCGAUCCGUAACUGGUCUGAUAGGAUGAUCAGUCACACUGGAACUGAGACACGGUCCAGACUCCUACGGGAGGCAGCAGUGGGGAAUAUUGGACAAUGGGGGGAACCCUGAUCCAGCCAUGCCGCGUGUGUGAAGAAGGUCUUAGGAUUGUAAAGCACUUUAAGUUGGGAGGAAGAGCAGUUAACUAAUAUUUGACUGUUUUGACGUUACCGACAGAAUAAGCACCGGCUAACUUCGUG